This is an RNA transcript of Homo sapiens (human), 536 nucleotides long. It is a transcript of the gene named UBE2Q2 pseudogene 13, with no coding region annotated. The record is from RefSeq and is marked validated. The transcript has 3 exons. NCBI's taxonomy places the organism in Eukaryota, Metazoa, Chordata, Mammalia, Primates, Hominidae.
GAGGCUUGGGUGGGAGGAGGCGGAGGGCGCGUCUCUCCGGCUCCUGGCGCGGGGCUGACUCGGGGGCCGCUGGCCCCUCUUGGCCGCCGUCGCCACGCACCGAGUUUGUGUUUAAGGAGAAACUAACAAUGAAAACGGCCUCGUUGACGGAGGAAAAGUUGGAAUGCAGCCUCUGGUGCUGUUUGAGCGAUCCCUCUCCCCGGGGCCUGGCCGCGCGCUGCUGUGUUCUGGAAGGGCUCAUUGUACAGUCAAGGCGGCAGGAAUCCUCUUCAUCUUUCUCACCAAUAUGUUUUGUGGACUCUGACGAGCCAAAUCUGACAUCAGUUCUGGAACAUCUAGAAGAUACUAAGAACAACCAUUCAGUGAAGAGAGAAGCCAAGCUAUUUUCUCUUUUCCUCAUGAACAUUAUAUUUAGAAAUUAAAUGUUAAGAGAUAAUAUGAUAUAAUGUUAAGAGAUAAUAUGAUAUAAAAGCAUGAUUAAUGACUAUAAUCUUAGAGGAAUUAAAGUCUGGGUAUUUUAAGUCCUUCAAAUCUUA